GGAAGAACCACAGCCUGCAGUGGGCAGCCCUGCCUGGUGGAGGGGCCCAGCAAAUGGCCCAUCCACAUCAGUGAGGAAUACUGUGGAAUAAUAUAUGCCAAGGGACAGAAUAGUAACAAUACAUCCCUCAGACAGAACUGUUUUGAGUUGUGUGUGCAGCAAGCAUAAAUCCGGAAGAGUUACUGAAGCAAGAGCUAGAUAGACUGUUUCACUUCAGGAACAUUUACUACUUGCUUUCAGCGAUGGCAGAGUAUGUCCAGGCCUUUCCCAACAUUUUUCUGUGCUGCCAC
This 290-nucleotide long non-coding RNA is filed under the name Phasianus colchicus (ring-necked pheasant). RNAcentral's name for it is "lncRNA (ENSPCLG00000007866.1)". The record is from RNAcentral. Lineage: Eukaryota; Metazoa; Chordata; Aves; Galliformes; Phasianidae.